Molecule: non-coding RNA, 184 nt
Filed under: Desulforamulus putei
Lineage: Bacteria; Bacillati; Bacillota; Clostridia; Eubacteriales; Peptococcaceae
Source: RNAcentral
UCAUAAAAUCUUCUUACAGGUGCCCCCCGGGGAGAAUAGGGAAUCGGGUGCAAGUCCCGAGCGGUCCCGCCACUGUAAACGGUGAGCCGAUACCAAUUCUAAGCCACUGGCCGGCAGGUUGGGAAGGCAGGUAUUAAGGCAGUGACCCGUAAGCCAGGAGACCUGCCUGUAGGAAGUUUUAUUA